AGUGAACGCUGGCGGUAGGCCUAACACAUGCAAGUCGAACGGCAGCACAGUAAGAGCUUGCUCUUACGGGUGGCGAGUGGCGGACGGGUGAGGAAUACAUCGGAAUCUACUUUUUCGUGGGGGAUAACGUAGGGAAAGUUACGCUAGUACCGCAUACGACCUACGGGUGAAAGCAUGGGAUCGUCGCGCCGUGCGCGGUUGAAUGAGCCGAGGUGGGGUUAGCUAGUGGGCGGGGUAAAGGCCCACCAAGGGGACGAUCGGUAGCUGGUCGGAGAGGAUGAUCAGCCACACGGGAAGUGAGACACGGUCCAGACUCCUGCGGGAGGCAGCAGUGGGGAAUAUUGGACAAUGGGCGGAAGCCUGAUCCAGCCAUACCGCGUGGGUGAAGAAGGCCUUCGGGUUGGAAAGCCCUUUUGUUGGGAAAGAAAAGCAGCAGGUUAAUACCCCGCGGUUCUGACGGUACCCAAAGAAUAAGCACCGGCUAACUUCGUG
RNAcentral lists this ribosomal RNA (492 nucleotides) under uncultured bacterium. RNAcentral's name for it is "partial 16S ribosomal RNA". It matches the Rfam family "Bacterial small subunit ribosomal RNA", at positions 30 to 507 of the family's 1533-position model. The record is from RNAcentral.